UCUUCAAAUUUCCUUGAAGUGUACUCACCUCCAUUGUCACUUCAGAAACGCUUUAGCUUUUGGCUUGUCUCCCUUUCCACCAGAGCAAGAAGCUUCUGGAAAACUUAAAACACCUGAUCUUUGGUUUUCAAAAUAUAAACCCAUAAUUUUCGUGAAGUAUCAUCAAUAAAAGUAACAAAAUAUUUGUUACCACCCAUCGAUUUAAUUUUCAUUGGACCACAAAAUUAGAAUAUACCUAAUCAAGCAUAUUCAAUUUUCUUUCAGACGAUGUCUGAAAUAAGACUAUAUGCUGCUUACCAAAUAAACAGAAAUUUUUAAAUUAUGAGUAUUGGAGUAUAUUUUUAUUGAUUGUACUUUGUUUGAUUAGUUUCGGAUUUAUGGGCAUCGAUUUGAGGUGAUAGAGAGGCGCUGGAGCCGGUUAUGGAACUUCAGAGCGAGGUAAGUCUCAUAUCUAAUCUUGUGAGGGGAAAAUUUACCCCGUAUGUGUCAUAUUUAUUAUAUGCUACAUGUUGUGGGAGCUAUGCACGAAUGAGGUGACGAGUGUCCGUGUGUAUGCUAGAAUUCCUGAUUAUGUCCGGGUAGAAUUAGACUCACGCCAUACUUAAAUUGUUCUAUUUGAGUUAUUCUUGCAUGUUUAAAUGCUUUAAUUUACAUUUAGCCUAAUACUAGACACGCGUAGAGUAUCGGACUUGCUAUUUUAGAUACUUGACGAUCUACUUGAUUAGUUGUAGAAAUUGUACUUUCCUUACGGGUUUCUCCCGCGUUAUGCAUAUUCAUUGGAAAGUUUUUUUUAAUUUAAUAACUCACACAUAUAUUCGUGAGUAGGGUCAAAGAUCCGUAAAAGCUUUAUAUUUUUAUGGGAUCGGGUCGCUCGCCUCGGCAGUAUCAUGUAUCACACUCUUGUUUGAUCGGGUUGUUUGCCUCGGCAGGAUAUUGUAACACACUCUUAUGGGAUCGGGCCAUUCGCCUCGGCAGUAUCAUGUAUCACACUCUUAUGGGAUCAUGUUGUUCACCUCGGCAGUAUCAUGUAUCACACUCUUAUGGGAUCAGGUCGUUCGACUUGGCAGGAUUUGUAACAUACUCUUAUGGGAUCGAGUCAUUCGCCUCAGCAGUAUGAUGUAUCACACUCUUAUGGGAUUGGGCCGUUCGCCUCGGCAACUUCAUGAAAUACUCUUAUGGGAUCGGGCCUCCCGCCUCGGCAGAAUCGUGUAUAAUAUUUUAUAAGAAGCCAGUGGAUCCG
RNAcentral lists this long non-coding RNA (1240 nucleotides) under Nicotiana tabacum (common tobacco). RNAcentral describes it as "long non-coding RNA (NTAB_LNC004036)". The record is from RNAcentral. Lineage: Eukaryota; Viridiplantae; Streptophyta; Magnoliopsida; Solanales; Solanaceae.